This 253-nucleotide ribosomal RNA is filed under the name uncultured bacterium. RNAcentral's name for it is "partial 16S ribosomal RNA". It matches the Rfam family "Bacterial small subunit ribosomal RNA", at positions 524 to 776 of the family's 1533-position model. The record is from RNAcentral.
UACGUAGGGAGCAAGCGUUGUCCGGAAUCAUUGGGCGUAAAGCGCGCGUAGGUGGCCCCAUAAGUCCGCUGUGAAAGUCAAAGGCUCAACCUUUGAAAGCCGGUGGAUACUGUGGGACUAGAGUACGGAAGAGGCGAGUGGAAUUCCUGGUGUAGCGGUGAAAUGCGUAGAGAUCUGGAGGAAUACCGAUGGCGAAGGCAGCCAUCUGGCCUAAUACUGACACUGAGGUGCGAAAGCAUGGGGAGCAAACAGG